GACGAACGCUGGCGGCGUGCUUAACACAUGCAAGUCGAACGAAGAGCGAUGGAAGCUUGCUUCUAUCAAUCUUAGUGGCGAACGGGUGAGUAACGCGUAAUCAACCUGCCCUUCAGAGGGGGACAACAGUUGGAAACGACUGCUAAUACCGCAUACGAUCUGACCUCGGCAUCGAGGAUAGAUGAAAGGUGGCCUCUACAUGUAAGCUAUCACUGAAGGAGGGGAUUGCGUCUGAUUAGCUAGUUGGAGGGGUAACGGCCAACCAAGGCGAUGAUCAGUAGUCGGUCUGAGAGGAUGAACGGCCACAUUGGGACUGAGACACGGCCCAGACUCCUACGGGAGGCAGCAGUGGGGAAUCUUCCGCAAUGGACGAAAGUCUGACGGAGCAACGCCGCGUGAGUGAUGACGGCCUUCGGGUUGUAAAGCUCUGUUAAUCGGGACGAAAGGCCUUUUUGCGAAUAGUGAGAAGGAUUGACGGUACCGGAAUAGAAAGCCACGGCUAACUACGUG
Molecule: ribosomal RNA, 510 nt
Filed under: uncultured bacterium
Lineage: Bacteria
Description: partial 16S ribosomal RNA
Rfam family: Bacterial small subunit ribosomal RNA
Source: RNAcentral